AUGAUACUCCCUCCGUUCCAAAAUACUUGACUUCCAUUUGUCCAAAAAUGGAUGUACCUAUAUACUAAAACAUGUCUAGAUACAUCUAUAUUUUGACAAAGAAAAGGCAUGUAUUGUGGAACAGAGGGAGUAAAUG
This is a non-coding RNA of Triticum aestivum (bread wheat), 136 nucleotides long. Lineage: Eukaryota; Viridiplantae; Streptophyta; Magnoliopsida; Poales; Poaceae. The record is from Rfam.